GGUUACUGCUAUCGGUGUUCGCCUAAGCCAUGCGAGUCAUAUGUUCGUAAGAACAUGGCGUACUGCUCAGUAACACGUGGAUAACCUGCCCUUGGGUCCGGCAUAACCCCGGGAAACUGGGGAUAAUUCCGGAUAACGCACGUAUGCUGGAAUGCUUUAUGCGUAAAAUGGAUUCGUCUGCCCAAGGAUGGGUCUGCGGCCUAUCAGGUAGUAGUGGGUGUAAUGUACCUACUAGCCUACGACGGGUACGGGUUGCGAGAGCAAGAGCCCGGAGAUGGAUUCUGAGACAUGAAUCCAGGCCCUACGGGGCGCAGCAGGCGCGAAAACUUUACAAUGCGGGAAACCGUGAUAAGGGGACACCGAGUGCCAGCAUCCUAUGCUGGCUGUCCGGGUGUGUAAAAUACACCUGUUAGCAAGGGCCGGGCAAGACCGGUGCCAGCCGCCGCGGUAACACCGGCGGCCCGAGUGGUGAUCGUGAUUAUUGGGUCUAAAGGGUCCGUAGCCGGUUUGGUCAGUCCUCCGGGAAAUCUGACAGCUUAACUGUUAGGCUUUCGGAGGAUACUGCCAGACUUGGAACCGGGAGAGGUAAGAGGUACUACAGGGGUAGGAGUGAAAUCUUGUAAUCCCUGUGGGACCACCUGUGGCGAAGGCGUCUUACCAGAACGGGUUCGACGGUGAGGGACGAAAGCUGGGGGCACGAACCGGAUUAGAUACCCGGGUAGUCCCAGCCGUAAACGAUGCUCGCUAGGUGUCACGCAUGGCGCGACCGUGUCUGGUGCCGCAGGGAAGCCGUGAAGCGAGCCACCUGGGAAGUACGGCCGCAAGGCUGAAACUUAA
RNAcentral lists this ribosomal RNA (837 nucleotides) under uncultured archaeon. Its description in RNAcentral is "bacterial SSU rRNA". It matches the Rfam family "Archaeal small subunit ribosomal RNA", at positions 21 to 859 of the family's 1478-position model. The record is from RNAcentral.